Long non-coding RNA from Lytechinus variegatus (green sea urchin), 642 nucleotides. RefSeq lists it as uncharacterized. The transcript has 6 exons. The record is from RefSeq and is a predicted model, not a curated record. Lineage: Eukaryota; Metazoa; Echinodermata; Echinoidea; Temnopleuroida; Toxopneustidae.
AGCUCCUGCAAUCCCGCCCCAAAUACCACCACCGCCUACAAUACCACCACCGCCUACGCCUACUCCCCAAGCACCUGCGAUCCCAGAAAGACCACCGCUUGCCGUUCCAGGGGACGACAACUCUUUGGAUUCAGAUGUCAAUUACUUUACAGAUGAUGAAUUUGAGUAUGCUUUGCCUCCGCCUCCUGAGGACGAAAUAGUUAAAGCCGUUCAUGCUAUCACAGGAUCAAGACUUUCGGAAUUUAGGAGGAGAUUUGAUGAAGGAGAUCUUGAUGGGUAUGUUCAAGGAUUAGCUAAGGAAAUCGAAAGGAGUUCCUCUCACGAGUAGAUAUCAUUAUUUCACCACCUCCGCUGAUUGAAGUAUCACCAUUGACAUGAUUGAAGGGUACUUGGCAUUAUCCUUAAAAAAAGGAAAAUAAGAUUUCAAAUUAAGCUGGAAAAUGUGUAUGUGAGCGCUUGUAUUUGUCCUCAAAAACCUUGAAACACACCACAAUCCCAAUAAAGGAUGAAAAACAAUUUAGACACAAUUAACGAUUCAUGAAUUUAAUUUUGCGUCUCUGAGACGCAUUUAGCUUGUUAGAAUCCCGUAAUUAGUAACCAUCUGCAAUACAAUUAUUGGAAAUGGUUUCUUGAUUGAUUUGU